ACACUCCUACGGGAGGCAGCAGUGGGGAAUUUUGGACAAUGGGCGCAAGCCUGAUCCAGCCAUGCCGCGUGCGGGAAGAAGGCCUUCGGGUUGUAAACCGCUUUUGUCAGGGAAGAAAAGGUUCUGGCUAAUACCUGGGACUCAUGACGGUACCUGAAGAAUAAGCACCGGCUAACUACGUGCCAGCAGCCGCGGUAAUACGUAGGGUGCAAGCGUUAAUCGGAAUUACUGGGCGUAAAGCGUGCGCAGGCGGUUAUGCAAGACAGAGGUGAAAUCCCCGGGCUCAACCUGGGAACUGCCUUUGUGACUGCAUGGCUAGAGUACGGUAGAGGGGGAUGGAAUUCCGCGUGUAGCAGUGAAAUGCGUAGAUAUGCGGAGGAACACCGAUGGCGAAGGCAAUCCCCUGGACCUGUACUGACGCUCAUGCACGAAAGCGUGGGGAGCAAACAGGAUUAGAAACCCGGGUAGUCCCAUGA
Molecule: ribosomal RNA, 476 nt
Filed under: uncultured organism
Description: partial 16S ribosomal RNA
Rfam family: Bacterial small subunit ribosomal RNA
Source: RNAcentral